UCUCUUUCUCUCUCCCUUCCCCUCUCUCUCAAAAUAAAUAAGAAAAUAUAAAAAAAUACAUUGUUAAUAUACCUUAUUUCCAUCUUUAAAUGAUAGGUACUACUUUAAAGUACCAACGUCAUUUCCCACAAGAGCAGAUUUGAUUUUAUAUAGGAAUGCCUUUGGCUUCUUUACAUUGUGGUGGUAAUCAGAUGUCACCUCCCCCCCACCCCCAUUGUGGAAAUUUAUAAAUUAGUAACAAAAAUUUUCAUCAAAUGAAAUUUUUAUUGCUGGGGUUUUGGGAGUGGAGUAGUCAAGGGUAUAUGGACUUGUCAGUUUCCAACUUUAAGUGGAUACAAAUAUUGUAAGGAUAUUUUUAAGACAGGGGUGCCUGGCUGGCUCAGUUGGUAGAACAUGCAACUGUUGAUCUUGGGGUGAUGAGUUCAAGCCCCACGUUGGGUGUAGAGAUUACUUAAAAAAUAAAAUAUUUAAACAAAUAUUUUUAAGACAGAACCUUGCAUUAUAAUUCUUACUGUUGAAGAGACACUGCUAUCGUUGGCACCGUCUGUUAAGCUCUUCUGUGUACUUUUGCUGUUAUAAGCCUUAUAUAAAGCAAAUGAACUCUGCAUUUGGGAGACCAAAUUGAAUCUACAACAUCCUUGCUAUUUAAUGAGGCUGAGCAAGGAAGAACUGUUAGGAUGUUUAUAUUUGUCCUUAUAUUGUCACAUGUACUAAUUGGUUUGAACUAAGGUCACCUUCACUAUUACUGGGUAUCUUAAUGCGACAGUUCUAAUCAAGAUGUAGAAUCAUACUUAAGGUAAUAAAUUACAAAUAAGGUCUUAAUUUUUGCCAUUAGCUGUGCUUUUUACUUAAGAGAGACAUAUAAACAUACAAGGCUAGGCAGAUAUUAAGUCUAUUAAUAGGCAAAUGUAGACUAUGUACAAACAGUAUAAUUUUAACAGUAUAUUUUAUACAAGAAAGAAGAUGGAAUUUUUAGUGUGUAUCAAAUGCACAUUGUAAGCAAUUGAGUCAACAACCCCCGUGCCUCCUCUCAAAGACUGUUUUCUGAAAUUGAACUUCAGUGUUCAGUUUCAGAAAAAAAAUUCAAAGUGUAUAAACAUAAAAAACAUUUGUGAAAAACUCAUCUCUUAGAGGUUUGGCCAUUCGUCUCUGCGGAUGCUGUUUGAUUCUGUCUGUAAUCCUUUGGCUCUUACGCCAGGUCCUUAACAUUUUGGUGUAUACCAGCCCAAUUUUCAACUGCUGACACCUGCAGGUCUUUUGUAUGAGGGCUUUUCUGGCCCUGGGAGCCUGUGUAAGCAGUAUAGAAAUUGGUGUCCUAGAAUUGCUGGGGAACUAACUCACCUCAUUUCCUCUCCCUAGCUCUCAACCAGUGAAAUGAUAGGAAUUGGUGUAUAAGUAUCAUGCCUUGAGAUGGGAUAAUCCUAAAAUGUAUUUCUACACAGACCCUCUAAGUCCCCAGUGGGAUUAAGCUCCCAUUACACCACAGGAAUAAUUUCCCACUGGGAGUUCCUAGGAUUACUUCCCAAAUAAACUAUGGCAGCACUUUGAAUAGAGUCUGCUUUUGGGGAAAUAGAAACUAAAACAUGGGGGCAUAUUCCUUUAAAUAAAUUCAAUAUGAAAACCUUAAUUUUCCCUAAAGAUAGAUUUACAAGGCAAUUUUUUGUUUUACAAAAGACUUCUGUUAUGAACUCCAUUUAUAAAGAGAAUUCAUUUAAAUAAAUCACAUACUCCUAUUCAUUAAGUGCACUGAAAAUACCCAUUUUUACACAUAGCUUGUUAGAACUAUGCUUGUGUAAAACAGCACAGUUUCAUGUCAUAAUCAGCAUUUUAGCCAAAGUAAUUACUUUUGGGGGCAAAUUUUAUGGAACCAAGUAUAGCUAUUUAGCAUUUUGUUUGCUAUAUUUUCAUGUUUAAACCACUCCCACAAGUCCAUUUACUGCAGUUUGAAUGCUACGCAUGUGGUAGGUAGGGCGACCAUGUGCUUUAUUGUUUAAACCAGGACACACGGGAUAGAAAGGUUGUGCCGUUACUUAUGCUGGGGUAAAAAGAACGAGCACAUGUGGUCAUUCUGUGUAUAGGUGACCAUAUUAUUAAUUCUUUGGUACAGAUUUGCAGUCUUAGUACAGAUUUGGAUUGAUUAAAAAUAAAGUGUGUUGGAAGAUAGAAGUUUUUCCUUUAGUAUCUCUGUUUUCAGAAAUUAUGUAGUAUCAAUAUUACUGAUUAUUUCUAAGCAUUUUAUAACGAUUUAAGAGUUUCUGAUCAAAAAAUAAAAACAAAGCUCUGAACCAAAACAUUGAAAGGCAAUUCAGUUCUCUCUUCUCCAGGCUCAGUAAACCCCUGUUCCUGUAACUUUUAACCUAUAGGUUAUAUUUUCCUAUUUCUAAGUUAUUUUCGUGGGUCUUAUUUGGAUCCUUUCUAGCAAAAUGAUUUUCCCGAUAGUUUUAAGACACAAAUGUGAAGUUCUUCGCCUAGUGUAUGGCACAUAGUACUCAAUAAAUGGUAGUUAAUAAGAAUGAGAAAAAUAAGGAAGGUGAAAAUAGGGUCAUAAUUUACUUAGAUGUAGCUUCAGGUUGAAAUCUAGUCACAGUCUUCAGUAUUUUACUUUUUUCCUCCUUAAAUAUAGUCUAAAGUAGCAUUUCAAAUAUUCACAGGUUAGAGGUACUAAAAACAGGUCGUUAGUGAUAAAAGUAAUUUAUCUAAUUAAAUCUACAGUGUUUUCCCAAGCUUUCUUUCUUUACUCUCCAGAAGCCCCCUCUUGGUGGACUUACAUUCUUUUUGUGCCCAGUUUUGUUACGCAGUCCUGUCAUCUGCUCCCUCUUCAUAGGGCAAGAAUGGAACCUGCUUGGGGCCAUUUAUAGCUGAUAGUUUGUCUCGGCAUAAUUUUGAGUGCUUGAUUUUAUUCAGACUUAAAAAUUCAGCUCCUAAUAGUACAUUGGCAAGCCUUAUUUUUGAUCUUCAAGAGAUUGUCAAAGAUAGGAACUGUCUUUGUCAGUUUCUCAAAGAUUGGAACUCUGUUCAUCUUUGAAUUCCCGGUGUCUGGCACAUAGUAAAUGAAUGAAUGAAGUGGAUGUCUUCUGUCCACCCCCCCUUUCUUCCUCCCAUUUCUUCCUGGGCUGGCCAUUCAAUAAAACUCUAGUGUUGUACUGUGGGAAUGGAGAGUUUUUAUUUACACUGAAUUAAACAGCAAAUUAAACUAAAAGAAAAAGCAUCAGGAGAGUCUAAUGUGUGUUUACAUUCUUACCAAACAAAAGGAAAUUACUUUUACUUGCAUGUACCUUUUGAUUUUUUUUUUUUGUUCAUCUUUGUUGUAGUUAGCCUUUGAUAGAAAUCUUUCUCAGUGCUCUUCUCGAUAGUUACAUUGUGCUUUCCAUUUUUUUUUGUCUUUGUCAAAUUUUCCUGGUUAUGCAAUCUGCAGAAUUGACAUAGACAUUAGAAAUUUAAAUAGUAAGGGAAUUAGGACAGUUUAGUAAUACUGUAAGAAAAUUUUUUAUUUCUAUGGAGGAAACUACCUGUAGCUUUAUUAGAAUCAUAGUAUAAUAGAAAAGGAGUAGCUUUUAUCCCCACCUAGUUCUUCCAGUUAUGACAUACCCUUAUUUCUGCCUCCCACUAUACACCUAAUAUGC
Molecule: long non-coding RNA, 3623 nt
Organism: Herpailurus yagouaroundi (jaguarundi)
Lineage: Eukaryota; Metazoa; Chordata; Mammalia; Carnivora; Felidae
Exons: 2
Source: RefSeq, a predicted model, not a curated record